RNAcentral lists this ribosomal RNA (352 nucleotides) under Gobiodon bilineatus (two-lined coralgoby). Its description in RNAcentral is "partial 12S ribosomal RNA". It matches the Rfam family "Bacterial small subunit ribosomal RNA", at positions 865 to 1384 of the family's 1533-position model. Lineage: Eukaryota; Metazoa; Chordata; Actinopteri; Gobiiformes; Gobiidae. The record is from RNAcentral.
UUUUUCGCCAGGGAACAACGAGCUUCAGCUUAAAACCCAAAGGACUUGGCGGUGCUUUAGACCCCCCUAGAGGAGCCUGUCCUAGAACCGAUAGUCCUCGUUUAACCUCACCCCCUCUUGUUUAACCAACCUGUAUACCGCCGUCUGCAGCCCACCUUGUAAAGGCCUAGAAGUGGGCAAAACUGGUACUACCUAAGACGUCAGGUCGAGGUGCAGUCUAUGAGGGGGGAAGAGAUGGGCUACAUUUUCUGACCCAGAAUAAUACGAAUUCUGCCCUGAAAAAGCACAUGAAGGUGGAUUUAGCAGUAAGAAGAGAUUAGAAAGCUCUCCUGAAGCCGGCCCUGAAGCGCGU